This 162-nucleotide ribosomal RNA is filed under the name Taraxacum suave. RNAcentral's name for it is "5.8S ribosomal RNA". It matches the Rfam family "5.8S ribosomal RNA". Rfam says of the family: 5.8S ribosomal RNA (5.8S rRNA) is a component of the large subunit of the eukaryotic ribosome. It is transcribed by RNA polymerase I as part of the 45S precursor that also contains 18S and 28S rRNA. The record is from RNAcentral. Lineage: Eukaryota; Viridiplantae; Streptophyta; Magnoliopsida; Asterales; Asteraceae.
AAACGACUCUCGGCGACGGAUAUCUCGGCUCACGCAUCGAUGAAGAACGUAGCAAAAUGCGAUACUUGGUGUGAAUUGCAGAAUCCCGUGAACCAUCGAGUUUUUGAACGCAAGUUGCGCCCGAAGCCAUCCGGUUGAGGGCACGCCUGCCUGGGCGUCACG